UUCGCAAUGCCCGAAAGGGUGACGAUGCGACGCCGCGUGAGCGAAGAAGGCCCUAGGGUUGUAAAGCUCUGUCGAGGGUUAUGAAAUAUAGAUGGGUUAAUACCCCAUUUAUUUGACAAAAGCCCAAAAGGAAGCCACGGCUAACUCUGUGCCAGCAGCCGCGGUAAUACAGAGGUGGCGAGCGUUGUUCGGUAUUAUUGGGCGUAAAGAGCACGUAGGUGGUUUUGUAAGUCAGGUGUGAAAGCCUUCUGUUCAAAGGAAGAACGGCAUCUGAAACUGCAGAUCUUGAGUGUAGGAGGGGAGAGUGGAACUUCUGGUGGAGCGGUGAAAUGCGUAGAUACCAGAAGGAACGUCGGCGGCGAAAGCGACUCUCUGGCCUAUUACUGACACUGAGGUGCGAAAGUUAGGGGAGCAAACGGGAUUAGAUACCCCGGUAGUCCUAACCGUAAACGAUGGGCACUAAGUAGAGGGGUUUU
This 476-nucleotide ribosomal RNA is filed under the name uncultured anaerobic ammonium-oxidizing bacterium. Its description in RNAcentral is "bacterial SSU rRNA". It matches the Rfam family "Bacterial small subunit ribosomal RNA", at positions 365 to 832 of the family's 1533-position model. The record is from RNAcentral.